This 705-nucleotide ribosomal RNA is filed under the name Acinetobacter sp. RNAcentral's name for it is "bacterial SSU rRNA". It matches the Rfam family "Bacterial small subunit ribosomal RNA", at positions 98 to 798 of the family's 1533-position model. Lineage: Bacteria; Pseudomonadati; Pseudomonadota; Gammaproteobacteria; Moraxellales; Moraxellaceae. The record is from RNAcentral.
GCGGACGGGUGAGUAAUGCUUAGGAAUCUGCCUAUUAGUGGGGGACAACAUCUCGAAAGGGAUGCUAAUACCGCAUACGUCCUACGGGAGAAAGCAGGGGACCUUCGGGCCUUGCGCUAAUAGAUGAGCCUAAGUCGGAUUAGCUAGUUGGUGGGGUAAAGGCCUACCAAGGCGACGAUCUGUAGCGGGUCUGAGAGGAUGAUCCGCCACACUGGGACUGAGACACGGUCCAGACUCCUACGGGAGGCAGCAGUGGGGAAUAUUGGACAAUGGGGGGAACCCUGAUCCAGCCAUGCCGCGUGUGUGAAGAAGGCCUUUUGGUUGUAAAGCACUUUAAGCGAGGAGGAGGCUACCGAGAUUAAUACUCUUGGAUAGUGGACGUUACUCGCAGAAUAAGCACCGGCUAACUCUGUGCCAGCAGCCGCGGUAAUACAGAGGGUGCAAGCGUUAAUCGGAUUUACUGGGCGUAAAGCGCGCGUAGGUGGCCAAUUAAGUCAAAUGUGAAAUCCCCGAGCUUAACUUGGGAAUUGCAUUCGAUACUGGUUGGCUAGAGUAUGGGAGAGGAUGGUAGAAUUCCAGGUGUAGCGGUGAAAUGCGUAGAGAUCUGGAGGAAUACCGAUGGCGAAGGCAGCCAUCUGGCCUAAUACUGACACUGAGGUGCGAAAGCAUGGGGAGCAAACAGGAUUAGAUACCCUGGUAGUCCAU